RNAcentral lists this long non-coding RNA (434 nucleotides) under Mus musculus (house mouse). RNAcentral describes it as "predicted gene, 34030". Lineage: Eukaryota; Metazoa; Chordata; Mammalia; Rodentia; Muridae. The record is from RNAcentral.
AGCCCAGAGCUGGCCAGAGUAGCUCUUCCGGAGAAGGACCGAAGGGCCGGGAAAAGGGAAGAAUCUCCAUCUCCGUUGCUUCUGCAGAGCAAAGACGACACGACCUGGAUGAAUGGAGUAUCCGGAGAAGGUUUUUGAAGACGUUUAGGAGGAAGGGUGAGUUUUCUGUUGAGAAACUCAAUCUGCCAUACAGUAGCGGGCCCCAUCUGGGAUCUGUCACUGCUGACAGCACCACAGGGCACAGCCGUGAUCUUCUGCACAGCCUGCACUCCUCGAAAUACCCUCCUUAAUCAAAGGAUGUCUGCGCGCCGGCGCUCAGCUGACCGCGCCAAAGCAGAGAGGCCUAAGAGUUCCACCCCUCCCGCCCCCUCCCCAGGCUCACAACCUCCCCCAACCCUGUCUUUCCAGAGCAUUAAUUAAAAGCGGAAAAAAGA